This 117-nucleotide non-coding RNA is filed under the name Nomascus leucogenys (northern white-cheeked gibbon). The record is from Rfam by way of RNAcentral. Lineage: Eukaryota; Metazoa; Chordata; Mammalia; Primates; Hylobatidae.
GCCGGGUGUGGUGGCUCACACCUGUAAUCCCAGCACUUUGGGAGGCCGAGGUGGGUGGAUCACCUGAGGUCGGGAGUUCGAGACCAGCCUGACCAACAUGGUGAAACCCCGUCUCUA